RNAcentral lists this long non-coding RNA (954 nucleotides) under Rhinopithecus bieti (black snub-nosed monkey). Its description in RNAcentral is "lncRNA (ENSRBIG00000046404.1)". The record is from RNAcentral. Lineage: Eukaryota; Metazoa; Chordata; Mammalia; Primates; Cercopithecidae.
AUUUUUGGGAACGGAAUCUUGAGACCACACCUAAAGCAUUUGGUAUGGUUUGGGUAUCAUUAAUUUAAUGAAUUUUUAAAAAAUAUAUGCAUCAUUAAGAUCUUGGUUUUCAUAUUUUUGGUUGCAAUCAUUUUAUACAGAUAAACAGUGCAAAUAUUAAGAAUAAAUUAUAUUAUCUUGUAGUUGAUCAUAGUCGUGAAAAAGAAAAUACACCAGAAGGUCCUACUCAGAAAGGUCUUCGUGAAGCCAGAGAACAAAACAAAUGUAAAACAAAGAUGAAAGGCAAUACAAAGGAUUCAGAAUUUCCCAUAGAUAUGCAACCAAAUCCAAACCUGAAUGUUUGUAAAGAAAAUCUUUCUCCAGCAAAAUUUGACUACAAGCUGAAAAACAUUUUUAGACUACAUGAACUUCCAGUGAGCUGUCCCAAAUUUAUGUAACCGAUCUUCAAGAAAUCUAAGACUUGUACAAAAACAUAUGGCAUUUGUUUUGUAAUUGCUCCUAUUAUUCUUAAGGAGGACUAAUGACUCAGAAGAGACAUUAACCACUCUUUAACACAUAUAUUUUACCUGUAGUGAGUAUUUUUUUUUAUUUGCAAACUUCCUCUGCUCUUGAUGACCAUAUGGCAUGUGCAAUCUACUUCCUAAACCCCAUUUGUUGAUUAUUUCCUGGUAGCAAGAAUGUUGUCUGUGGUAUAUGUCAUGAGAACAUAGCACAUAUGAAUACUUCUGUCAUGACCAAAAGCAGUAGGUGAAUGAAUUGAAAAGGUCUGUUAGUAAAGGGAACCAUAAAAAUGAUACAUUUGUACCUUAGUGUUCUAUUUCAAGAUAAAACAAGUGCCUGUACAUUCAUAUGCUAGUCUUUUGGUGUAAGGUCACGACUUUUUCUUAAAUGUCUAUUGAAUGGAAUUCUACACAAUAUUUCUUACCUAAGCCAUGCCAGUAAUGGGUCUUCUAC